ACUCAAAUGAAUAGACGGGGACCCGCACAAGCGGUGGAGCAUGUGGUUUAAUUCGAAGCAACGCGAAGAACCUUACCAAAUCUUGACAUCCCUUUGACGUACACUUAAUCGUGUAUUCCCUUCGGGGCAAAGGUGACAGGUGGUGCAUGGUUGUCGUCAGCUCGUGUCGUGAGAUGUUGGGUUAAGUCCCGCAACGAGCGCAACCCUUAUCUUUAGUAGCCAGCAGUUCGGCUGGGCACUCUAGAGAGACUGCCGGGGAUAACCCGGAGGAAGGCGGGGAUGACGUCAAAUCAUCAUGCCCCUUAUGAUUUGGGCUACACACGUGCUACAAUGGCGUAAACAAAGGGAAGCAGAGUCGUGAGGCCGAGCAAAUCCCAAAAAUAACGUCUCAGUUCGGAUUGUAGUCUGCAACUCGACUACAUGAAGCUGGAAUCGCUAGUAAUCGCGAAUCAGAAUGUCGCGGUGAAUACGUUCCCGGGUCUUGUACACACCGCCCGU
Molecule: ribosomal RNA, 498 nt
Filed under: uncultured bacterium
Lineage: Bacteria
Description: bacterial SSU rRNA
Rfam family: Bacterial small subunit ribosomal RNA
Source: RNAcentral